RNAcentral lists this ribosomal RNA (2970 nucleotides) under Cupriavidus taiwanensis. RNAcentral's name for it is "bacterial LSU rRNA". It matches the Rfam family "Bacterial large subunit ribosomal RNA". Lineage: Bacteria; Pseudomonadati; Pseudomonadota; Betaproteobacteria; Burkholderiales; Burkholderiaceae. The record is from RNAcentral.
UCAAGCGAACAAGUGCAUGUGGUGGAUGCCUUGGCGAUCACAGGCGAUGAAGGACGCGGUAGCCUGCGAAAAGCUUCGGGGAGCUGGCAAACAAGCUUUGAUCCGGAGAUGUCCGAAUGGGGAAACCCGGCCCGAAUGGGUCAUCCCACACUGAAUUCAUAGGUGUGGGAAGCGAACGCGGCGAACUGAAACAUCUAAGUAGCUGCAGGAACAGAAAUCAACCGAGAUUCCCAAAGUAGUGGCGAACGAAAUGGGAAGAGCCUUGUACUCUUUAGCAGUGGUGUUAGCAGAACGGGAUGGAAAGCCCGGCCAUAGCAGGUGAUAGCCCUGUAUGCGAAAACACGAUUGUGGAACUAGGUGUACGACAAGUAGGGCGGGACACGUGAAAUCCUGUCUGAAGAUGGGGGGACCAUCCUCCAAGGCUAAAUACUCGUGAUCGACCGAUAGUGAACCAGUACCGUGAGGGAAAGGCGAAAAGAACCCCGGGAGGGGAGUGAAAUAGAUCCUGAAACCGCAUGCAUACAAACAGUCGGAGCCUCUUCGGGGGUGACGGCGUACCUUUUGUAUAAUGGGUCAGCGACUUACAUUCAGUGGCAAGCUUAACCGAUUAGGGAAGGCGUAGCGAAAGCGAGUCCGAACAGGGCGUUGAGUCGCUGGGUGUAGACCCGAAACCAGAUGAUCUAUCCAUGGCCAGGUUGAAGGUGCGGUAACACGUACUGGAGGACCGAACCCACUAACGUUGAAAAGUUAGGGGAUGAGCUGUGGAUAGGGGUGAAAGGCUAAACAAAUCUGGAAAUAGCUGGUUCUCUCCGAAAACUAUUUAGGUAGUGCCUCGUGUCUCACCUUCGGGGGUAGAGCACUGUCAUGGUUGGGGGGUCUAUUGCUGAUUACCCCGCCAUAGCAAACUCCGAAUACCGAAGAGUGCAAUCACGGGAGACAGACAUCGGGUGCUAACGUCCGGUGUCAAGAGGGAAACAACCCAGACCGCCAGCUAAGGUCCCCAAAUAUGGCUAAGUGGGAAACGAAGUGGGAAGGCUAAAACAGUCAGGAGGUUGGCUUAGAAGCAGCCACCCUUUAAAGAAAGCGUAAUAGCUCACUGAUCGAGUCGUCCUGCGCGGAAGAUGUAACGGGGCUAAGCCAUAUACCGAAGCUGCGGACGCGUGCGUUCCUUUAAGUGCACCAAGCUUGUCGAUGCGCAGCAUCGACAAAGCCGCCAACAAUGAUCGAUGGUGGUUGUGCUAGUGGAUUUAAAGGAGCGCACGCGUGGUAGGAGAGCGUUCUGUAAGCCUGUGAAGGUGUCUUGUAAAGGAUGCUGGAGGUAUCAGAAGUGCGAAUGCUGACAUGAGUAGCGAUAAAGGGGGUGAAAGGCCCCCUCGCCGUAAGCCCAAGGUUUCCUACGCAACGUUCAUCGGCGUAGGGUGAGUCGGCCCCUAAGGCGAGGCAGAGAUGCGUAGCUGAUGGGAAGCAGGUUAAUAUUCCUGCACCGUCGUAUGAUGCGAUGGGGGGACGGAUCGCGGAAGGUUGUCCGGGUGUUGGAAGUCCCGGUCCCUGCAUUGGAGAAGGCGCUCAGGCAAAUCCGGGCGCGGGAUUCAAGGAUGUGGGGCGAGCGGCCUAGUGCUGCGAAGCAAUUGGAAGUGGUUCCAAGAAAAGCCUCUAAGCUUCAGUCAUACGAGACCGUACCGCAAACCGACACAGGUGGGCGAGAUGAGUAUUCUAAGGCGCUUGAGAGAACUCGGGAGAAGGAACUCGGCAAAUUGGUACCGUAACUUCGGGAUAAGGUACGCCCUGGUAGCUUGACUGGCCUGCGCCAGAAGGGUGAAGGGGUUGCAAUAAAAUGGUGGCUGCGACUGUUUAAUAAAAACACAGCACUCUGCAAACACGAAAGUGGACGUAUAGGGUGUGACGCCUGCCCGGUGCCGGAAGAUUAAAUGAUGGGGUGCAAGCUCUUGAUUGAAGUCCCGGUAAACGGCGGCCGUAACUAUAACGGUCCUAAGGUAGCGAAAUUCCUUGUCGGGUAAGUUCCGACCUGCACGAAUGGCGUAACGAUGGCCACACUGUCUCCUCCCGAGACUCAGCGAAGUUGAAGUGUUUGUGAUGAUGCAAUCUCCCCGCGGCUAGACGGAAAGACCCCAUGAACCUUUACUGUAGCUUUGCAUUGGACUUUGAACCGAUCUGUGUAGGAUAGGUGGGAGGCUUUGAAGCGUGGACGCCAGUUCACGUGGAGCCGUCCUUGAAAUACCACCCUGGUUUGUUUGAGGUUCUAACCUUGGCCCGUGAAUCCGGGUCGGGGACAGUGCAUGGUAGGCAGUUUGACUGGGGCGGUCUCCUCCCAAAGUGUAACGGAGGAGUUCGAAGGUACGCUUGGUACGGUCGGACAUCGUACCUAAAGUGCAAUGGCAAAAGCGUGCUUAACUGCGAGACCGACAAGUCGAGCAGGUGCGAAAGCAGGACAUAGUGAUCCGGUGGUUCUGAAUGGAAGGGCCAUCGCUCAACGGAUAAAAGGUACUCUGGGGAUAACAGGCUGAUACCGCCCAAGAGUUCAUAUCGACGGCGGUGUUUGGCACCUCGAUGUCGGCUCAUCUCAUCCUGGGGCUGUAGCCGGUCCCAAGGGUAUGGCUGUUCGCCAUUUAAAGAGGUACGUGAGCUGGGUUUAAAACGUCGUGAGACAGUUUGGUCCCUAUCUGCCGUGGGCGUUGGAAUCUUGACGGGGGCUGCUCCUAGUACGAGAGGACCGGAGUGGACGUACCGCUGGUGUACCUGUUGUCUCGCCAGAGGCAUCGCAGGGUAGCUAUGUACGGAAGAGAUAACCGCUGAAAGCAUCUAAGCGGGAAACUCGCCUGAAGAUGAGGAUUCCCUGGAGGCUUGACCUCCUUGAAGGGUCGUUCGAGACCAGGACGUUGAUAGGCUGGGUGUGGAAGCGCAGUAAUGCGUUAAGCUAACCAGUACUAAUUGCCCGUAAGGCUUGAUCCU